RNAcentral lists this ribosomal RNA (760 nucleotides) under Arenimonas sp. enrichment culture clone A20. RNAcentral's name for it is "bacterial SSU rRNA". It matches the Rfam family "Bacterial small subunit ribosomal RNA", at positions 1 to 754 of the family's 1533-position model. The record is from RNAcentral. Lineage: Bacteria; Pseudomonadati; Pseudomonadota; Gammaproteobacteria; Lysobacterales; Lysobacteraceae.
GAUUGAGUUUGAUCCUGGCUCAGAGUGAACGCUGGCGGCAGGCCUAACACAUGCAAGUCGAGCGGCAGCACAGCAGUAGCAAUACUGUGGGUGGCGAGCGGCGGACGGGUGAGGAAUACAUCGGAAUCUACCUUCUUGUGGGGGAUAACGUAGGGAAACUUACGCUAAUACCGCAUAAGACCUGAGGGUGAAAGCGGGGGACCGCAAGGCCUCGCGCGAGAAGAUGAGCCGAUGUCCGAUUAGCUAGUUGGUGAGGUAAAGGCUCACCAAGGCGACGAUCGGUAGCUGGUCUGAGAGGAUGAUCAGCCACACUGGAACUGAGACACGGUCCAGACUCCUACGGGAGGCAGCAGUGGGGAAUAUUGGACAAUGGGCGCAAGCCUGAUCCAGCCAUGCCGCGUGUGUGAAGAAGGCCUUCGGGUUGUAAAGCACUUUUGUUGGGGAAGAAAAGACCGUGGUUAAUAACCGUGGUUCAUGACGGUACCCAAAGAAUAAGCACCGGCUAACUUCGUGCCAGCAGCCGCGGUAAUACGAAGGGUGCAAGCGUUACUCGGAAUUACUGGGCGUAAAGCGUGCGUAGGCGGUUUGUUAAGUCUGUCGUGAAAGCCCCGGGCUCAACCUGGGAAUGGCGGUGGAUACUGGCAGGCUAGAGUACGGUAGAGGAUGGUGGAAUUCCCGGUGUAGCAGUGAAAUGCGUAGAGAUCGGGAGGAACAUCUAUGGCGAAGGCAGCCAUCUGGACCAGUACUGACGCUGAGGCAC